UACGGAGGGUGCAAGCGUUGUCCGGAUUUAUUGGGUUUAAAGGGUGCGUAGGCGGUUCUUUAAGUCCGGGGUGAAAGCCCACUGCUCAACAGUGGAACUGCCCUGGAAACUGGAGAACUUGAGUACAGACGAGGGCGGCGGAAUGGAUGGUGUAGCGGUGAAAUGCAUAGAUACCAUCCAGAACCCCGAUUGCGUAGGCAGCUCGCUGUGCCGAAACUGACGCUGAGGCACGAAAGCGUGGGGAGCGAACAGG
Molecule: ribosomal RNA, 253 nt
Filed under: uncultured bacterium
Lineage: Bacteria
Description: partial 16S ribosomal RNA
Rfam family: Bacterial small subunit ribosomal RNA
Source: RNAcentral